UACGAGGGGUCCUAGCGUUGUUCGGAAUCAUUGGGCGUAAAGCGGGUGUAGGCGGCUUUGUAAGUCAGAAGUGAAAGCCCUGGGCUCAACCCGGGAAGUGCUUUUGAUACUGCAAGGCUUGAGUGUGGGAGAGGAUAGUAGAAUUCCUGGUGUAGUGGUGAAAUACGUAGAUAUCAGGAGGAAUACCGGUGGCGAAGGCGGCUAUCUGGCCCAACACUGACGCUCAGACCCGAAAGCGUGGGUAGCAAACAGG
This 253-nucleotide unclassified non-coding RNA is filed under the name uncultured Pseudobdellovibrionaceae bacterium. Its description in RNAcentral is "uncultured Bdellovibrionaceae bacterium contains 16S-23S intergenic spacer region". It matches the Rfam family "Bacterial small subunit ribosomal RNA", at positions 524 to 776 of the family's 1533-position model. The record is from RNAcentral. Lineage: Bacteria; Pseudomonadati; Bdellovibrionota; Bdellovibrionia; Bdellovibrionales; Pseudobdellovibrionaceae.